AGAACGAACGCUGGCGGCAUGCCUAACACAUGCAAGUCGAACGAGACCUUCGGGUCUAGUGGCGCACGGGUGCGUAACGCGUGGGAAUCUGCCCUUAGGUACGGAAUAACAGUGAGAAAUUACUGCUAAUACCGUAUGAUGUCUUCGGACCAAAGAUUUAUCGCCUAGGGAUGAGCCCGCGUUGGAUUAGCUAGUUGGUGGGGUAAAGGCCUACCAAGGCGACGAUCCAUAGCUGGUCUGAGAGGAUGAUCAGCCACACUGGGACUGAGACACGGCCCAGACUCCUACGGGAGGCAGCAGUGGGGAAUAUUGGACAAUGGGCGAAAGCCUGAUCCAGCAAUGCCGCGUGAGUGAAGAAGGCCUUCGGGUUGUAAAGCUCUUUUACCCGGGAAGAUAAUGACUGUACCGGGAGAAUAAGCCCGGCUAACUCCGUGCCAGCAGCCGC
Molecule: ribosomal RNA, 445 nt
Filed under: uncultured bacterium
Lineage: Bacteria
Description: SSU rRNA
Rfam family: Bacterial small subunit ribosomal RNA
Source: RNAcentral